GGACAACCAUCCUGUCUGGGCCCAGGUGGUGGGUGCCCUGAGAAAGAAUUACUUUAUUAUUAUUAUUUUCUUCCUUCAGAAGGAAGGGUUGGACCAAAACACCAGACUGUCCUCAUCGGGUGCUCCUCUCUGGGUUGGGUGGGUGAGCCCUGGAAUCCUGUAGGACAUCCCUAAGGGGAGCCUUCCCUCCUGAGAGGAGACCGGGGUGCUGGAAUCUAUGAGGAGUGAAGGUGGAGGUAAGAGAUGGUUCUUGGUGACUGAGGCUGGCCUGGUCCCGACCUGUGCUCCUGGACUGGCCGAUGCCCUGGGCCUGGGGCUGGGUGUGGCCCCGCGGUAGGGAGGUGGGGGAGGGGAGAUGACAUUGCCUUCCAACGUGUGGGUAACGCUUGGGGUGCAGGGUCCCUGUGGACAGGCGGACGGGUGGGUCCCGCAGCCCCACAGCGACACCAUGUGUCAUCAAGAGGAAACUGCAACAGAGGUAGGCGUAGGACCCCAGCUUCCUCCCCCACAGCGUGCAGACCUGAACUGCACUCCUGGGUGAACUCUGAGUUCUGUGGGUCCCAGACACAGAUGUGGAGGGGUCACGCUGGGAGUGGUCAAGCUGUUGGUGAGAAAAAUGAGGCCGAGAAUGAGUAGCCUGGGCUCUGAGGCAGAGACUGAUACCUGGCAGGACCACACUUUCCCACGUCUCUUGCAGUUAAAUGUCACCACAUGACUUAGCUCUGGCAGAGGCAAUGUGGGCAGAAGCGGGGUCACGUUCAGGCCUCCUGCUAAUCAGAACCACCCGUUUUGGGGGCUCCUGGGUGGCUCAGCCGGUUGAACGUCCGACUUCGGCUCG
This is a long non-coding RNA of Lynx canadensis (Canada lynx), 838 nucleotides long. RefSeq lists it as uncharacterized. Lineage: Eukaryota; Metazoa; Chordata; Mammalia; Carnivora; Felidae. The transcript has 3 exons. The record is from RefSeq and is a predicted model, not a curated record.